This 1272-nucleotide ribosomal RNA is filed under the name human gut metagenome. Its description in RNAcentral is "bacterial LSU rRNA". It matches the Rfam family "Bacterial large subunit ribosomal RNA", at positions 1637 to 2925 of the family's 2925-position model. The record is from RNAcentral.
GGUGCCCGUACCGCAAACCGACACAGGUAGGUAGGAAGAAGAUUCUAAGGCCAACGGGAGAAGGGUUGUUAAGGAACUCGGCAAAUUGACCCCGUAACUUCGGGAGAAGGGGUGCUGCAGCAAUGCAGCCGCAGAGAAUCGGCCCAAGCAACUGUUUACCAAAAACACAGGUUUGUGCUAAAUCGAAAGAUGACGUAUACGAGCUGACGCCUGCCCGGUGCUGGAAGGUUAAGAGGAGAUGUGCAAGCAUUGAAUCGAAGCCCCAGUGAACGGCGGCCGUAACUAUAACGGUCCUAAGGUAGCGAAAUUCCUUGUCAGGUAAGUUCUGACCCGCACGAAUGGCGUAACGAUUUGGGCACUGUCUCAACAGCCCGCCCGGCGAAAUUGUAGUACCGGUGAAGAUGCCGGUUACCCGCGACAAGACGGAAAGACCCCAUGGAGCUUUACUGUAGCCUAAUAUUGGGUUUCGAUGUUGCAUGCACAGGAUAGAUGGGACACAGGGAAGCAGGUGCUUUGGCGCUUGUGGAGUGGCCGUUGGGAUACCAUCCUUGCGAUAUUGGAAUUCUAACCUGCGCCUUUGAAUCAAGGCGGGGGACAUUGUUAGGUGGGCAGUUUGACUGGGGCGGUCGCCUCCUAAAGAGUAACGGAGGCGUUCAAAGGUUCGCUCAGCUUGAACGGAAAUCAAGCAAAAGAGUGCAAACGCAGAAGCGAGCCUAACUGCGAGACUGACGGGUCGAGCAGUAACGAAAGUUGGAGUUAGUGAUCCGGUGGUAUGUGAGUGGAAAUGCCAUCGCUCAACGGAUAAAAGUUACCCUGGGGAUAACAGGCUGAUCUCCCCCAAGAGUCCACAUCGACGGGGAGGUUUGGCACCUCGAUGUCGGCUCAUCGCAUCCUGGGGCUGUAUUCGGUCCCAAGGGUUUGGCUGUUCGCCAAUUAAAGCGGUACGCGAGCUGGGUUCAGAACGUCGUGAGACAGUUCGGUCCCUAUCUGUCGUGGGCGCAGGAUAUUUGAUGGGAGCUGUUCCUAGUACGAGAGGACCGGAGCGGACGUACCUCUGGCGCACCAGUUGUUCUGCCAAGAGCAUAGCUGGGCAACUAUGUACGGAUCGGAUAAACGCUGAAAGCAUCUAAGCGUGAAGCCGACCCAAAGAUAAGAUAUCCCAUUGUUUCAAACAAGUAAGACCCCUUGAAGACUACAAGGUUGAUAGGCACGAUGUGUAAGUGGAGUGAUCCAUUCAGCAAGCGUGUACUAAUAGGUCGAGGGCUUGACCAC